ACAAUGUUAAGCAAGCUAUAAUCAAAUUCAAAGAAACUUUAAAGGAAUUAUAAAGAAACAAUAAAAAAUCUUAAAAAAAUAUUAAAAUGAUCACAAAUAUAUCUCAAAUAAAUCUCAAUCUAAUCUUAAUUUAAUCCUAGUUAAAAUCCUAUUGAACUUCAUUCAAACUUUAGGCCAAAAACUAAUUAAAUUUUAAAUCUUAAAUAAAUCCUAAAGAAACCUUAAUCAAAUCCUAAUAAAAUUCUAUUAAAAUCCUAAGUCCUAAAUCGAAUCCUAACCAAAUCUUAAAUCCUAAAUCAAAUCCUAAUCAAAUCCUAAUCCUAAAUCAAAUCCUAAUCAAAUCCUAAAUCCUAAAUCAAAUCCUAAUCCUAAAUCCUAUUAGACUUCAUUCAAACCUUAGACCAAAAACUAAUUAAAUUUUAAAUCCUAAAUAAAUCUUAAAAAAAAUCUCAUCAAAUCCUAAUCAAAUCCUAAUAAUAUCCUAAAUUCUAAAUCAAAUCCUACCCAAUUCUAAAUCUUAAAUCAACUCGUAAUCAAACCUUGAUUCUAAAUCAAAUCCUAAUCAAAUUCUAAAUCCUAAACCAAAUCCUAACCCUAAAUCAAACCCUAAAUCUUAAAUCCUAAAUUAUAAACUAUACUCUAAUCAAAUCCUAAUCAAAUCCUAAAUCCUAAACCAAAUCAAAAUCAAAUCCUAAUCCUAACCAAAUCAUAAACCUUAAACCAAAUCUUAACUAAAUUCUAAUAAAAUCCCAAAUUCUAAACCAAAUCCUAAUCAAAUCCUAAACCCCAAAUCAAAUCCUAAAUCCUAAAGCAAAUCCUAAAUUCUAAAUCAAAUCCUAACUAAUUCCAAGUAAUUCUUAUGAUAGAUGUGAAUCUCAAUAAUUAAUAAACGAAUCAUUGAUUUUAACUCAAAAUUUACACACCUCUUACUAAUUAAGUUGAUAAAAAGUACAAAAAAAAAAAAAAUCGGAAUUAUCAAAUAGACGAUAACCUCAAAAACAUGCUCAAGUAUUAGUCGGCCUUCUUCUUCGACCUUGGUGCUAAUCUUCCAAAGCCAAUAUCUCUCUUUUUCACCAUUCAAUUGAUCUCAAAAAUCUCACAUAUGUAGCAAAAAAUUUUUACUAUCCUCAUACAUAAAUUUCUUUUCAAUCCAACAAGUAGAUUGCAAGAAAUCUUAAAAAUCCUCAUUAGACCUAAAUUUCUACUUUUUGAGACCUUGAUCCACUUAAACCUCAAUAAUCCUCAAUUCAACUAUUAGAUCAAGCUAAAAUUCAAAACACAUAUUAAGCACAAUUAUAACCAUUAAUCUACAAAAUUUUGCUUGUAGAUCUAGUACAAAACUCUCGAAAUCAUCCAAAAUAUCAAUCCUAUUUUAUUUCAUAAAAAUCCAAGUCAUCUGAAACAAACUUGACUUUGUAAAGCUCUUAUAAAGUCAUUACAAAUCCAAAUCACCUAAAACCAAUGCUUAUCAAAACCCUAUUAAGUUUGCUCUUAGAUUCUAUCCUCCAAUCUCCAAAAAAAUCCCAAAGUCAUCGUCAAGGCUUAGUUUUGUGCCUCAGGGUCUGAUUUCGACCCUUGUUCAUAACUGGCCCUCUCCAAGUAUCAAUAUCUAGUUUUUUCUAGAUAAUUUGCUAGAAUUUAUUUUUGACUUCUUCCUAAAGAUGCUUAUAUCAUUUAUUUUUCCAAUCUACUUUGUUUUGCCUUAUUUAUGGCCCUACAAAGUAGGUAGAAGUUACUUUUCUAAAAAGAUAGUAUUAUUACUAAAAGUUUUUCUACCUUCCUAUCUUUUAUCUAUAUUUUUUUACUUUAUCUUUUAAUUUGGCUCUUCUAUAAUAAGAUCCAUAUUAUCAUCUUUCACCAUAUAACCAUGUUACAACAUGACAUCCACCUCCUCUAAACUUUUACAUCCUUGAAUAUGCGCCAAAUAAUCCAACUUUGUUUGAUUCAUACUAUAUUCUCAAUGUAUUCAUCUAAUUCUUCUUCUUCUUCAUAUUCACUAUUCAAAUCAAAAUCAUCUUAUUGUCUUGAAAGAUUUAUGUCUUCGAUAAAAUCUUCUAUAUUUAUUUAUGUUUUCUUUUAUUUGAAUAUCUUCACUUACUUCCCUUAUCAUUAUCCUUUAAUCCAAUAGAUGCAAUUUUCUCCAAAAAUCUUUCAAUCCAUUUUUUUCAUAAAUCCCAACAUCUUUUAUUAUUUUCUAAUAUUUCUAAUUCACAUAAUUUUUUUCAAUCAAUAUAUAUAUAUAUAUAUAUAUAUAUAUAUAUAUAUAUAUAUAUAUAUAUAAAUUUUUAAUGCAAAUAAAACUUAAAUUAAAGGCACCUAUGUAUUAUAAGAGUAUCUCUUUUUUUAUACCACCAUAGUCUUACUUUAUAAUGAUACUUUUUCAUUUUUUUUUUUUUUUUUUUUUUUUUUUUUGCCAAUGUUUCUAUUUACUCAUCAAGUGCAAGUAACUUGGAAAUAACCUCCUUUUUACACCUCUAUAGUCUUGCUUUAUAGUGAUAUUUCUCCAAUUUUAUUUUAUUUUAUUUUAUUUUAUUUUUCAAUGUCAAUGUUUCUAUUUACUCCACAUGUGCAAGUAGUUUGGAAAUAUCCUCCUUUGCAUAUGACCAAACCAUUGGCAAGGUACAAAAUCUGAAAUAAAAAGACUAAAUCAAAACCUCUCCCACAUAUCUACAUACAUCUUGCUUGUAUCUUUUUUCUUAUUUCUUUGAUUCCAAGUCCUAUUUAAGAUGUCCAUGUAAUCUUUAAAUCCAUUGCCUAUGUCUUUAUAUUUGAAGAUUUUUAGAUUUUCUAACUUUGAAUUCUAUACUUCAUGAUGAACCUUACCUUUGUCAAAAUCUAAUUAUGUCUUCAUUACAUGUGCAUUAUCUAUGUAACUUUGACCUUGAUCCAAAAGAAAAGUGUUCACAAUUAACUUAAUCAUUGUCAAUGACUUGGCACCCUUAUCUUUUGUUCUAUAAUCUUUAUUUGCCACAUAAUCUUAUAUAACAUCCUUCAUAUCUUCUUGAAUGCAUCCUUGUAAAAUAUCAUAAUCUUUUGUUGUCUCAAAGCAUUGUAUAACCUCAUAAUAUUGGAAAAUCUCAUGUUCUUUUGAAAUCUCAUGCUCUUGAAAAGUCUCAUAACUUUCAUGAUAAUCCUUUGAUGUUUCAUAACCACAUUUAGUAUCAUAACCUAGUACAAUUUCAUAACCAUCUCUAUAAUGAUCAUAUAAAAAUCCAUAACUUCUUUCAUCCAAUCCAUAUGUGGUUUCAUAGCUAUAUGCAAUUUGACUUUCAUCAUCAUCUUCAUACAUAAUUCUACCUUUUUUCAUAUCAUAAUAUUGUGAAUUCAUAUAACCUCUAUGAUCAUAACCUUCAAUAGAUCCAUUAACCAUUUUUUUGAAGGCUCAAUCUUAAACUCUUCAAUAUAAUCUAAAGUUCGGAAUAAAACAUCUUCACCUCCUUCAAAAGUAGAAAAUGCCUUUUGGUUACCAAAUGAUACUCUAUCUAAAUUGCCAUCACCAACUUGCACAAACUUACUCAAUGUAGAAUAGUCAUAGCUUCCAACCACAUUGUCAUUAGUUUCUAAAUCCUUAAUCUUCAUAUUACCUUCAAAUUUUUGGAUACCUUGGCCUUCCAUAGUAAUAUUUUGAAAAAAGACUUUAUUCUCUCCUUCACCACCUUUGAUAUAAGAUUUAAUUUCUUUCAUUUGCAAAGAAUUGGCUCCUCCAUUGAAGUUCCUUGCUUACUCUUCUAUUUUUCUUUUUUUAAGAUUAGUCCCUUGCAUUGAUAAAGAUGACAUAGAAGCCAAAAUAGAAGAUUUCUUGGAUCAUAUUGUAACUCCUUUAGCUUCUGCUUCUUGUUGUUUUGUUAAAACAACUACUGCUUCUUUCAACUUUUCUCAAUUAUUGAUACAACUAUUCUCUUUAGACUCAUUUAUAAGAAGCAUAAAAAGCUCAUCUUCCAAAAUAUCAUCAACACCAUUUAAAAUUAACUCUACCUUUAAAGCAUCUAAUAACCAUCUCUUCGAGGAUGAAAGUUGAUAAAAUCUCUUAUCAAAUUCUUCCAAGAAUUCAUAAAGAUGCAUAUGCUUACUUGGUUGCAAUUCUAUCCAAUCCAAAAACUUUUGCUUAGUAAUCUUAUCCUCAUCUCCAUCAAUAAACUCUUCUUUCAAAAGUUCUUAAAAUUUUGACCAUAUCUCCACACUCCCUCCAAGAAAAUCUUUCCACUUUUUUAUGAAUCCCAAGUUUAAUAGCCAAAUGGAAGCUUGAAAUCAUCUUUGCCUCAAGGAUUUGGCAUGUCUCUAUCUCACAUGUAUAAACUUAUAAAAACCUUUUGAUGUUGCAUCCUUCAAAUCUCCCAAAUUUUUUGAUGACUCCUUGUAAUGCCUUUGUGAUACCUUUUUCAAUUGCUUGCACCUUUUGUUGUUCUUCCAUGAAUAUACAGAAAGCCUUAAAAAAUUAAUAAUAUUUGGUCCAUCUAAAAUAUUUAACAUAUCCAAAGACCUUGAUGACACAUCCUCCAUUUUUUUCUACAAUGUUUAAAAAUGUCCCUUGAAAUGCUCCAAUAAAUACCUUAUGAUACUUCAAAAUGCUCCAACAUGUCUAUAAAGCCUUAUAAUACUUCAUGAUAAUCCAAAUAUUAUCAUUGUUUUUUGAGAUAGUUUCUAAAGCUCCAAAAACUCUUCCAACUCCAUUUCAAGUAUCACUUCCAACUCCACUUGAAGUAUCAUAAAAAACUCUUCCUUCCAUUUUCUUGCUUUCUUUCUCCAUAAUUCAAAUAAAUUAAAAAAAAUAAAUUUAAGAAUACCUUCCAACUCAAGCUUUUCACGUCGGGUUUACCAAAAUAUAUCGUAAUAUGUGAAGUCUUGCUUGAGAAUGCUCCGAGCACCUAGCUGUGGAAGGUAGAAUGAAAAUUGUAACAACAAAAUCCUAACUAUAAUAGAAAACUAACAAUGCUAAGCAAGCUUUAAUCAAAUUCAAAUAAACCUUAAAGGAAUUACAAAGAAACAAUAAGAAAUCUUAAAAAAAUAUUAGAAUGAUUACAAAUAUAUCUCAAAUAAAUCUCAAUCUAAUCUUAAUUUAAUCCUAGUUAAAAUCCCAUUGGACUUCAUUCAAACUUUAGGCCAAAAACUAAUUAAAUUUUAAAUCCUAAAUAAAUCCUAAAAAAACCUUAAUCAAAUCUUAAUAAAAUUCUAUUAAAAUCCUAAAUCCUUAAUCAAAUCCUAAUUCUAAAUUAAAUCCUAAAUCUUAAACUCAAAAUCCUAAAUCAAAUCCUAAUCAAAUUCUAAUCCUAAAUCAAAUAUUAAUCAAAUCUUAAAUCCUAAAUCAAAUCCUAAUCCUAAAGUAAAUCCUAAAUUCUAAACUAAAAAUUUUAAAUCGAAUCCUAACCAAAUCCUAAAUCAAAUCCUAACCAAAUUCUAAAUCCUAAAUCAAAUUCUAAUCAAAUCUUAAUCCUAAUCAAAUCCUAACCAAAUUCUAAAUCCUAAACCAAAUC
RNAcentral lists this long non-coding RNA (5471 nucleotides) under Physcomitrium patens. Its description in RNAcentral is "long non-coding RNA (PPAT_LNC011049)". Lineage: Eukaryota; Viridiplantae; Streptophyta; Bryopsida; Funariales; Funariaceae. The record is from RNAcentral.